Molecule: ribosomal RNA, 119 nt
Filed under: Pteropus alecto (black flying fox)
Lineage: Eukaryota; Metazoa; Chordata; Mammalia; Chiroptera; Pteropodidae
Source: RNAcentral
UUCUAUGGCCAUGCCACCAUAAAUGUGCUCGAUCUCAUCUGAUCUCGGAACCUAAGCAGGGUUGGGCCUGGUUAGUACUUGGAUCGGAGACCACCUAGGAAGACCAGGUACUGUAGGCG